Molecule: non-coding RNA, 68 nt
Organism: Podarcis lilfordi (Lilford's wall lizard)
Lineage: Eukaryota; Metazoa; Chordata; Lepidosauria; Squamata; Lacertidae
Source: the annotation of a GenBank genome assembly
GGAUCACUCAGUCGGUAGAGCAUGAGACUCUUAAUCUUGGGUCGUGGGUUCGAGUCCCACCUUGGGCA